Eriocheir sinensis (Chinese mitten crab) is the source of this 781-nucleotide long non-coding RNA. RefSeq lists it as uncharacterized. NCBI's taxonomy places the organism in Eukaryota, Metazoa, Arthropoda, Malacostraca, Decapoda, Varunidae. The transcript is spliced from 3 exons. The record is from RefSeq and is a predicted model, not a curated record.
CGAGAUUAAACAGCUAAAUAUAUAAGAAAACAAACUCCCGUAUCACUCCGCGGCAAGUUAUCAAUUAUCAUUCUCUUUCCGUCACCCUCGUAGCCUCUUAACAUUCUAACAGUAUGUCUUGAGGGACUUCCAUGUAUGAGAGAUUGUUUUGAAUAAUCCCACGACAUCGAUUCAAGUCAGAACUGGAGUCAAAAGGGACAGAUUGAGAAUAAUAUAUAAAGACUAGUGAAGAUCGGCUUGCGUGUCGCGGGGAGCCAUUCAUCAUGACGUCAGCCCAGGGACAUCGGCGGUGACGAGAGGACACACGUGGACGCUCUCUCAGUAUUUUUUGCCUUUUGUGUUGUGUUAUGCGCUCGGUAUCACGAUUUUUUGCAUCUUAUCGAUUGCGUGUGACGUUGGGGUAUCCUUAGACUGGCCGUAGAGAGGUGUAGCGCCCUGGAGUGGCUUCGUGCGUCUCCUGGCAGAGUUGUUGAAAAACUGUCGACGCUUCCUCUUCCUUCUCACGUGAGUACAGAAUAUCAUGUUUUUUUUAUCUUCUUUCUCUCUCUCCAUUCGUCCCUCCCACACCUUUUCCUUUCCCUAAGCUUGGCAGAUGUGACUUAUGAGCAGAAUAUCAUGUUUUUUCUCUCUCCAUUCUUCGUCACACGUUUCCUCCACCCUCGCAUCCCCACACCUUUUUCCCUCUCCUAAGCUUGGCCGACGUGACUUAAGAGUGAGUCCGCAACUUCAUCAGAGGCCAAAAGUGAUAUCUUCUUCCUGUGAUAAUUGUCAAUGUGCCUUC